RNAcentral lists this ribosomal RNA (27 nucleotides) under Coniella javanica. RNAcentral describes it as "partial 28S ribosomal RNA". The record is from RNAcentral. Lineage: Eukaryota; Fungi; Ascomycota; Sordariomycetes; Diaporthales; Schizoparmaceae.
UUUGACCUCCGAUCAGGUAGGAAUACC